RNAcentral lists this ribosomal RNA (395 nucleotides) under uncultured bacterium. Its description in RNAcentral is "partial 16S ribosomal RNA". It matches the Rfam family "Bacterial small subunit ribosomal RNA", at positions 355 to 769 of the family's 1533-position model. The record is from RNAcentral.
UGGGGAAUCUUGCGCAAUGGGCGAAAGCCUGACGCAGCCAUGCCGCGUGUAUGAUGAAGGUCUAGGAUUGUAAAUACUUUCACCGGUGAAGAUAAUGACUGUAGCCGGAGAAGAAGCCCCGGCUAACUUCGUGCCAGCAGCCGCGGUAAUACGAAGGGGGCUAGCGUUGCUCGGAAUUACUGGGCGUAAAGGGAGCGUAGGCGGACAUUUAAGUCAGGGGUGAAAUCCCGAGGCUCAACCUCGGAACUGCCCUUGAUACUGGGUGUCUUGAGUGUGAGGGAGGUAUGUGGAACUCCGAGUGUAGAGGUGAAAUUCGUAGAUAUUCGGAAGAACACCAGUGGCGAAGGCGACAUACUGGCUCAUUACUGACGCUGAGGCUCGAAAGCGUGGGGAGC